This 497-nucleotide ribosomal RNA is filed under the name uncultured bacterium. RNAcentral describes it as "partial 16S ribosomal RNA". It matches the Rfam family "Bacterial small subunit ribosomal RNA", at positions 28 to 507 of the family's 1533-position model. The record is from RNAcentral.
GACGAACGCUGGCGGCGUGCCUAAUACAUGCAAGUUGAGCGCUGAAGGCUGGUACUUGUACCAACUGGUUGAGCAGCGAACGGGUGAGUAACGCGUGGGGAAUCUGACUUUCAGCGGGGGACACUAUUUGGAAACAAUUGCUAAUACCCAAUAAAAACUUGAAACACAAUUUUUAAGUUUGAAAGUUGCAAUUUCAUAAGUUAAAGAUGAUCCCGGGUUGUAUUAGCUAGUUGGUGAGGUAAAGGCUAACGAAGACGAUGAAACGUAGCCGACCUGAGAGGGGGAUAGGCAAAACUGGGAUGGGGACACGGCCCGAACUCCUGCGAGAGGCAGCCGUACGGAAUCUUCAGGAAUGGAAGAAAGGCUGAACGAGGGACGCCGCGCGAGUGAAGGAGGUUGUCAGGUCGUAAGACUCUGUUGGUCGAGAGGAUCGUUAGUCAGAGUUGAAAGCGCAUAAAGUGACGGUAACUACACAGAAAGGGACGGCUAACUACGUG